This 508-nucleotide ribosomal RNA is filed under the name uncultured bacterium. RNAcentral describes it as "partial 16S ribosomal RNA". It matches the Rfam family "Bacterial small subunit ribosomal RNA", at positions 28 to 507 of the family's 1533-position model. The record is from RNAcentral.
GACGAACGCUGGCGGCGUGCCUAAUACAUGCAAGUCGAACGCUUCUUUCCUCCCGAGUGCUUGCACUCAAUUGGAAAGAGGAGUGGCGGACGGGUGAGUAACACGUGGGUAACCUACCCAUCAGAGGGGGAUAACACUUGGAAACAGGUGCUAAUACCGCAUAACAGUUUAUGCCGCAUGGCAUAAGAGUGAAAGGCGCUUUCGGGUGUCGCUGAUGGAUGGACCCGCGGUGCAUUAGCUAGUUGGUGAGGUAACGGCUCACCAAGUCCACGAUGCAUAGCCGACCUGAGAGGGUGAUCGUCCACACUGGAACUGAGACACGGCCCAGAGUCCUACGGGAGGCAGCAGUAGGGAAUAUUCGGCAAUGGACGAAAGUCUGACAGAGCAACGCCGCGUGAGUGAAGAAGGUGUUCGGAUCGUAAAACUCUGUUGUUAGAGAAGAACAAGGACGUUAGUAACUGAACGUAGCCUGACGGUAUCUAACCAGAAAGCCACGGCUAACUACGUG